RNAcentral lists this ribosomal RNA (429 nucleotides) under Pseudomonadota bacterium. RNAcentral's name for it is "Proteobacteria bacterium partial 16S ribosomal RNA". It matches the Rfam family "Bacterial small subunit ribosomal RNA", at positions 355 to 776 of the family's 1533-position model. Lineage: Bacteria; Pseudomonadati; Pseudomonadota. The record is from RNAcentral.
UGGGGAAUAUUGGACAAUGGGCGAAAGCCUGAUCCAGCCAUGCCGCGUGUGUGAAGAAGGUCUUCGGAUUGUAAAGCACUUUAAGUUGGGAGGAAGGGCAGUAAGCGAAUACCUUGCUGUUUUGUCGUUACCGACAGAAUAAGCACCGGCUAACUCUGUGCCAGCAGCCGCGGUAAUACAGAGGGUGCAAGCGUUAAUCGGAAUUACUGGGCGUAAAGCGCGCGUAGGUGGUUCGUUAAGUUGAAUGUGAAAGCCCCGGGCUCAACCUGGGAACUGCAUCCAAAACUGGCGAGCUAGAGUAGGGCAGAGGGUGGAGGAAUUUCCUGUGUAGCGGUGAAAUGCGUAGAUAUAGGAAGGAACACCAGUGGCGAAGGCGACCACCUGGGCUCAUACUGACACUGAGGUGCGAAAGCGUGGGGAGCAAACAGG